CCGGGCCAGCCUGGCGUGCCGCGGGAAGAAGCUGCGUCCCUUGCCCCGUCGCCGCGUGGCGCAAGAAGAGGCCGAGACAAUGAUUCAGCCUCAGGAAACAGCUUCAAGGUCUCAUACCUUCAAAAACAAGUCUUUUAAAAAAUCUAGAAUCUGUGGAAUCUGCAAACAAGUAAUUGACAGCCAAGGAAUUUCUUGCAGAGUUUGCAAAUAUGCCUGCCACAGGAAAUGUGAAGAAAAG
RNAcentral lists this long non-coding RNA (238 nucleotides) under Lepidothrix coronata (blue-crowned manakin). RNAcentral describes it as "lncRNA (ENSLCOG00000011595.1)". Lineage: Eukaryota; Metazoa; Chordata; Aves; Passeriformes; Pipridae. The record is from RNAcentral.